UCUCUCUCUCUCUCUCUCUCUCUCUAUUUCAUAGUUUCUGUGUAUUGUGAAGAUCCUCUUUACCUCUCUUUCCCACAUUCAUCAAUAUCUUUUCUUCCCUUGCUGCCUUACGUUUCAUGUAGUCCUUCUCCUUCACAUGUGAAAUCAAACCCUAAUUUUCUAUAUGUGGAAGGAAAUUUUAAUUGGAUGCGUUUCCUUGACUACAGAAAUGAGUGUGGCAAGGAGAGGUAAGGAGGUUCUUCAAACGCACAUUCCCCAGCUUUGGCGUUGUGCGGCGGGGCGGUUUCGAUUAAGUCAGCAUUGAAGGCAAGGAUUCAUCAUGGGCCCCUAAUGCUGGCGGACUACCAAAAUGGAUCUAUUUUGAUUUGUACUUGGGCCUUGAAUGUUGCAAAAUGCGUGGAAGAAAUGGCAAAACUGUCAGAAGUGGGAUUUGAACCCACGCCCUCUCUCAAAGACCAGAACUUGAGUCUGGCGCCUUAGACCACUCGGCCAUCCUGACCUGAUGUGGGGUAUGGAGAAGGUAUUUUUAUGUUUUAUAUAGCAUUGGUAAAUUUAAACGCACGAUUUUUUUUUUGACCGGAAUUCAUGGUUCAUAUUAGUAACAUACUACCUUCAAUCUUAAUUAUAAGAGCUAAUUAACUAA
This is a long non-coding RNA of Neltuma alba, 643 nucleotides long. RefSeq lists it as uncharacterized. NCBI's taxonomy places the organism in Eukaryota, Viridiplantae, Streptophyta, Magnoliopsida, Fabales, Fabaceae. The transcript is spliced from 2 exons. The record is from RefSeq and is a predicted model, not a curated record.